AAAACGACUCUCGGCAACGGAUAUCUCGGCUCUCGCAUCGAUGAAGAACGUAGCGAAAUGCGAUACUUGGUGUGAAUUGCAGAAUCCCGUGAACCAUCGAGUCUUUGAACGCAAGUUGCGCCCGAAGCCAUCAGGCCGAGGGCACGCCUGCCUGGGCGUCGCA
This 163-nucleotide ribosomal RNA is filed under the name Malus domestica (apple). RNAcentral's name for it is "5.8S ribosomal RNA". It matches the Rfam family "5.8S ribosomal RNA". Rfam says of the family: 5.8S ribosomal RNA (5.8S rRNA) is a component of the large subunit of the eukaryotic ribosome. It is transcribed by RNA polymerase I as part of the 45S precursor that also contains 18S and 28S rRNA. The record is from RNAcentral. Lineage: Eukaryota; Viridiplantae; Streptophyta; Magnoliopsida; Rosales; Rosaceae.